CCGGCGACCGGCGCACGGGUGAGUAACACGUGUGCAACCUGGCCGUGACAGAUGGAUAACCGGGAGAAAUCCCGCCUAAUACAACAUAAUGCCGGGAGGGGACAUCCCCUGCCGGUCAAAGGGGGCGACCCCGGUCAUGGAUGGGCAUGCGGCGCAUUAGGUAGUUGGUGGGGCAACGGCCCACCAAGCCGACGAUGCGUAGGGGUUCUGAGAGGAAGGCCCCCCACACUGGGACUGAGACACGGCCCAGACUCCUACGGAAGGCAGCAG
This 270-nucleotide ribosomal RNA is filed under the name uncultured bacterium. Its description in RNAcentral is "partial 16S ribosomal RNA". It matches the Rfam family "Bacterial small subunit ribosomal RNA", at positions 88 to 354 of the family's 1533-position model. The record is from RNAcentral.